This 496-nucleotide ribosomal RNA is filed under the name uncultured bacterium. Its description in RNAcentral is "partial 16S ribosomal RNA". It matches the Rfam family "Bacterial small subunit ribosomal RNA", at positions 29 to 507 of the family's 1533-position model. The record is from RNAcentral.
AUGAACGCUGGCGGCGUGCCUAAUACCUGCAAGUCGAGCGCACAGACGAGGAGCUUGCUCCUCUGACGUUAGCGGCGGACGGGUGAGUAACACGUGGAUAACCUACCUAUAAGACCGGGAUAACUUCGGGAAACCGGAGCUAAUACCGGAUAAUAUAUUGAACCGCAUGGUUCAAUAGUGAAAGACGGUUUUGCUGUCACUUAUAGAUGGAUCCGCGCCGCAUUAGCUAGUUGGUAAGGUAACGGCUUACCAAGGCAACGAUGCGUAGCCGACCUGAGAGGGUGAUCGGCCACACUGGAACUGAGACACGGUCCAGACUCCUACGGGAGGCAGCAGUAGGGAAUCUUCCGCAAUGGGCGAAAGCCUGACGGAGCAACGCCGCGUGAGUGAUGAAGGUCUUCGGAUCGUAAAACUCUGUUAUUAGGGAAGAACAAAUGUGUAAGUAACUAUGCACGUCUUGACGGUACCUAAUCAGAAAGCCACGGCUAACUACGUG